UGGACGUCGACCCGGUCUCGGACCCAGGCGGCCCCCAGCUCUCCGUGGCGCCUGCGCAGCAGGACGGGGCCCUGAGGGGAGCCUGGGCUCUGAAUCUGCAGGAACAGCUGGAGGCAGCCACCCUCAGACCCGUGCAGACCACCCCCAGCUCACCCAGAAGUCGCCCCGGAUGCGGCCAGUGGCCACCACCAGCUCCUGCCAGCCUGGGCCCCAGGGCCCAGAGCUCUGCCACAGGGUCAGCGUCUCGGCCCUGUGGGUCAGCUCUAGCCGCAGCUCAGCCACAUCUGCUGAGUCUGCUCUGCUUGGAGGGGGGACCUGGCCCCUUCUGUACCCGCUGCCCGUCAGCAGGCCCCGCCCUGUGUUGAUGAGGACGAACGUCCGACUGUAAAAGCGUCCAGGAGAGGGGCCCCUGGCCCAGGUAGGCUCCCACCCGCCCGGAUACUUCUGACCAAAGGUCGGGCUUCAGUCAUCAGGCCCACCGUCCCAGCCCUGCCUGGCGGAGGCCCCACCAGAGAAAGCACCCACUCGGGCUUUGUCUCCCAGAGCUGGGGCAGGAGCCCAGCACGCACCCCCCACCUGUGCCCCCAGCCCCACGUUCCGUGCCUCCCUGCCCCAAGUGACCAGGGACUUCGUCCUUCCCCACCACAGUCUGUGGCUGCCUGUGGCUGCUCAUUCCUUUGUAAGGGACGAUCAUGUAUUCAUCAACAAGUGUUCUGAUUAGCGUGGCUGGGUGCUGCCGGGCACAGGGCAUUUACCACCACGUGACCUCGGUCUUACCAGAUCCUGUCUCCUCAUCACUAAGAUGUGGUCACAACAGCCUGGAGAGGCCACCGUGAGCUCACGGAAGGCCUGCCCCAAGAUGGCACCCGUGUUCACGGGGAGCCACAGGGACAGCUGUGCUCGGCUGUCCCCUCAUCCACACAUCCACUUGCCGCAGCUCGUCCCCCCUCAGCCCUGCACUGGGAGGAGAGGAGGGGGUCCUGCAGGGGGGCUCCCGGCUCCAAGCCUGAACCCUCAGAGCCUGUGGCUGCAGGGCGGGUGCCAUGGGACCCGGUCUUACGAGGGGUCUGGGAAACUUCAUGUGACUUCAAACGGCAGAUCACGAGGGGACACUGAUGUCAGCUGGCCCUGGGGGACCUGGUGCUAACUCCUUGCGCAAGGGCUCAUCAAAGAGUUUCCUCCCAGAUGUCCUUGGACACAGGAGGGGUGGAGAGGAGCAAUCAGGCCAUAAAUGGGGGCAGCAGCCCAGGGGCCCCCUUAUCAGAGCACAAAGGGCUGAGUGUGCACGCCACCCCCCCCCCCAGGGGCCCCCAGAUGUGGAGCCAGGUGAGGGACAGCCAGUAGGGGCCCUGCGGCUACCAGGGCCGCCUCCAGCUCUCUGUCACCCACACCCUCCGGCCAGGGGUCCCCAGGGGUGACCGGGAAGCAGACAGAUCAAGACACACACACAUCUGAGGAAGAGCAGGGGCGAUAACGUUUUUAAUUCCUGCAGGUGAGGUAAACCUGGGCACUCGGGCCCGGCUGCUGUUGGUCUCCAAGGCCUGGCCCGGGGUGCAUAGCGCCAGGGGGUAUAGUGGGCCGCUCGGGCAGGCCUCAGUAACCGUCGUCGGCCCAGGUGACCUCGUAGUCCGGG
Neofelis nebulosa (Clouded leopard) is the source of this 1633-nucleotide long non-coding RNA. RefSeq lists it as uncharacterized. The record is from RefSeq and is a predicted model, not a curated record. Lineage: Eukaryota; Metazoa; Chordata; Mammalia; Carnivora; Felidae. The transcript has 3 exons.